UGGGGAAUUUUGGACAAUGGGGGAAACCCUGAUCCAGCCAUCCCGCGUGUGCGAUGAAGGCCUUCGGGUUGUAAAGCACUCUUGGCAGGAAAGAAACGUCAUGGGUUAAUACCCCGUGAAACUGACGGUACCUGCAGAAUAAGCACCGGCUAACUACGUGCCAGCAGCCGCGGUAAUACGUAGGGUGCAAGCGUUAAUCGGAAUUACUGGGCGUAAAGCGUGCGCAGGCGGUUCGGAAAGAAAGAUGUGAAAUCCCAGAGCUCAACUUUGGAACUGCAUUUUUAACUACCGGGCUAGAGUGUGUCAGAGGGAGGUGGAAUUCCGCGUGUAGCAGUGAAAUGCGUAGAUAUGCGGAGGAACACCGAUGGCGAAGGCAGCCUCCUGGGAUAACACUGACGCUCAUGCACGAAGGCGUGGGGAGCAAACAGG
This 429-nucleotide ribosomal RNA is filed under the name Acidobacteriota bacterium. RNAcentral's name for it is "Acidobacteria bacterium partial 16S ribosomal RNA". It matches the Rfam family "Bacterial small subunit ribosomal RNA", at positions 355 to 776 of the family's 1533-position model. Lineage: Bacteria; Pseudomonadati; Acidobacteriota. The record is from RNAcentral.